UUACGGCCACAUUACGUUGAAACACAGAUUCCUGUAAGAUCAGCGAGGUUAAGCAACGUCGAGUCUGUUUAGUACCUCGAUGGGUGACCGCUUGGGAAUACCCGGUGCUGUAA
This is a non-coding RNA of Acanthosepion pharaonis, 113 nucleotides long. The record is from the annotation of a GenBank genome assembly. NCBI's taxonomy places the organism in Eukaryota, Metazoa, Mollusca, Cephalopoda, Sepiida, Sepiidae.